RNAcentral lists this ribosomal RNA (253 nucleotides) under uncultured bacterium. Its description in RNAcentral is "partial 16S ribosomal RNA". It matches the Rfam family "Bacterial small subunit ribosomal RNA", at positions 524 to 776 of the family's 1533-position model. The record is from RNAcentral.
UACGAAGGGUGCAAGCGUCAUUCGGAGUUAUUGGGCGUAAAGAGCGUGUAGGCGGCUUGUUAAGUCUGCUGUUAAAGUACCUAGCUCAACUAGGUGUUUGCGGCGGAAACUGGCGAGCUUGAGUAUAAGAGAGAGAAGUGGAAUUCUCGGAGUAGCGGUAAAAUGCGUAGAUCUCGAGAGGAACACCGGUAGCGAAGGCGGCUUCUUGGCUUAUAACUGACGCUCAAAUGCGAAAGCGUGGGGAGCAAACAGG